CAGCCGCCGCGGGAAUACGUAGGGUGCAAGCGUUAUCCGGAAUUAUUGGGCGUAAAGAGCUCGUAGGCGGUUUGUCGCGUCUGCUGUGAAAACUGGAGGCUCAACCUCCAGCCUGCAGUGGGUACGGGCAGACUAGAGUGCGGUAGGGGAGAUUGGAAUUCCUGGUGUAGCGGUGGAAUGCGCAGAUAUCAGGAGGAACACCGAUGGCGAAGGCAGAUCUCUGGGCCGUAACUGACGCUGAGGAGCGAAAGCAUGGGGAGCGAACAGGAUUAGAUACCCGCGUAGUCCCUGUCUCUUAUAC
Molecule: ribosomal RNA, 301 nt
Filed under: uncultured bacterium
Lineage: Bacteria
Description: partial 16S ribosomal RNA
Rfam family: Bacterial small subunit ribosomal RNA
Source: RNAcentral